Molecule: long non-coding RNA, 1080 nt
Organism: Clupea harengus (Atlantic herring)
Lineage: Eukaryota; Metazoa; Chordata; Actinopteri; Clupeiformes; Clupeidae
Source: RefSeq, a predicted model, not a curated record
ACUGUACCCGGCCGGCACAACGAAGCUGAAUCCACCUACAUCAUGAGAGUGGUCCCUGACGUCGUCCUGCAAGUGGAUCCAUUCUUACGCCCACCCUUGCACUCACAUGACAGCCCCCUUCACAUCGUUUCCCGCAGCUUUAAUGCUGCAGACUGCGCUGGUGCAAGAAACUACGACAACAGGACUGCGACUGCCUACGUAUCCACGCAACUUUUAAUGAAGCGGCUUUGCGUUUCAGCGGUCUUUGCUUGGUGCCAACGGACUUUCUGGGACGACACCACCUACUUCUCUGCUGCAAUAAAAACUGAACCAGCCAGACACAGAGGAGACACCACCUUUGGCAAUCUGUCUGCGGUUUCCCGCCACUAAAGCCUUUCCACAGGUCGCCAGAGGCCGUGUGAGUGAGUGUGACACCAGGCAUCCUGGCCUGUCCUCCCCCCACAGGGGUGCUCCAGCAGGAGGAUCGCCCAGGCCCAAUUACAGUAAUCACCCCCAUCAAAGAGCACAUGUCACUGGAGGGAGCCACUGGCCGGCCACCACACCAUGCCAGCCAGAGGUGAGAGUGUCCCUGUCUGUGUGCGGUGAGUGGAAAUGUGUGUAUUUUGUGUGUGUGUGUUUCAUGAGCCUCUUUACAUCUGUAAAUAUUAUUGAGAGUCUUUCCUUUCCGAAUGUGCUAAAUGUUUAAUCGUCUGCAUGUACAAUUUAUUUUGGAAAUCACACGUUCUGUGGCAGGAGAAGCAUGGUAAGAAAAUACUGCAGAAACUGCCAUGAGCUCAAAGUGCCAGGAGCAGCAAACUCACAGAGCCACUCUCUUUGUCCUAGCAGGCACACGCACUGCUUUAUGCCUACGGUCUACCUGCAAGCCCUCACUGCAAAUUACCACAGCAGUCCUGUCCUUCCACAAGGAUUUACAGUUGCUGUGUCAGGACUUGUUACCCGCCCGGCAGUCUGAUGCUUACGGUUUGUUUUUAUAAGGGCUUUGCAUGUCCUGAGGUGUUAGUCAUGUCACCUGCCAUACAUGGUUUGUGUGACCUCGAGACCAUCUAUUAGACAAGAAGGCUAGACAUGUAAUCAGAUGAA